AUUGAACGCUGGCGGCAGGCCUAACACAUGCAAGUCGAGCGGAUGAAGGGAGCUUGCUCCUGGAUUCAGCGGCGGACGGGUGAGUAAUGCCUAGGAAUCUGCCUGGUAGUGGGGGAUAACGUCCGGAAACGGGCGCUAAUACCGCAUACGUCCUGAGGGAGAAAGUGGGGGAUCUUCGGACCUCACGCUAUCAGAUGAGCCUAGGUCGGAUUAGCUAGUUGGUGGGGUAAAGGCCUACCAAGGCGACGAUCCGUAACUGGUCUGAGAGGAUGAUCAGUCACACUGGAACUGAAACACGGUCCGGACUCCUACGGGAGGCAGCAGUGGGGAAUAUUGGACGAUGGGCGAAAGCCUGAUCCAGCCAUGGCGCGUGUGUGAAGAAGGUCUUCGGAUUGUAAAGCACUGUAAGUUGGGAGGAAGGGCAGUAAGUUCAUACCUUGCUGUUUUGACGUUACCAACAGAAUAAGCACCGGCUAACUUCGUG
This 484-nucleotide ribosomal RNA is filed under the name uncultured bacterium. RNAcentral describes it as "partial 16S ribosomal RNA". It matches the Rfam family "Bacterial small subunit ribosomal RNA", at positions 30 to 507 of the family's 1533-position model. The record is from RNAcentral.